Molecule: long non-coding RNA, 1771 nt
Filed under: Homo sapiens (human)
Lineage: Eukaryota; Metazoa; Chordata; Mammalia; Primates; Hominidae
Description: HSALNT0091339
Source: RNAcentral
GCUCAGCAGUCUCAUUGAAGCGAGCGGCGGCGGCCGCGCCGUGGUAAACAAGUGCCGGGCUGUCAAUCAAGAACUAGACCGGAGCAGGAGAGGACCGGCCUAAACCGGCGCGAGCAGAUCCCAGCCGGCCUGCCCGCGCGCCGCCGCCGCCGCCGCUGCCGCCCGCGCGCCCCGCUAUACAUACGGCAUACGUCGCGCGGCGCUCGCGCCCGUGCCCGCGCAACCUAGCCUGCUGGCCGGGGGGCGGGGCGAGCGAGCCGCGGCGCUUCCGCUUUACACGCCCCAGCCGGCGACCGGUUCCAUCUGGCUCGGGCCACUCUGACACCUUUAGUUUCGGCAAGGGAUAUUGGGGUGGCGAAGGGGAGGCGGGGGCCCGAAGGCUUCGGAAAACGAUGGGGGAGGGGGCAGAGGAUACCCGUCGAAGCCCCCCCCUCCCCCAACAUUUCGAUAUUGGAAUCACUUUCCUUCUUCCUCGGGCCAGCCUUUGCUCUGUCCCCUCAGGUCAACUCAAGGUAGACAGUGUGGCGACUGGAGAGGUCGGGGAACAAGCUUUGUUUCAGCUAAGGGGAAAACAAGCGUUCACAGGAGUCCCCUGACACCUCCCACUCGGAAGAUAGCUAACGGGGGUCCUGCCAACCCUUCCCAUCCAACUUCCAUCUGAAAAGGAUUUUCUGCUAAAGUUGGGUCCAUGGCCAUCCAGCACCUGUAAGGCCGGCAGGAGCGUCUGCCCUCUACUCAGUUAAAGCCUGAAGUCGUUUCCUUUCGAUGGCCCUUAGGAGGCCCAAAAGAGGGGCGACAGAACAUGAUGUUGACACGGGCUGGGCGCCCCCAGAAGCCCGGGAACAAACGUUUCUACUUUCCAGGUCCACUGGUGUUUGGUGUACCCAUGUGACUAAUUUGUCCAAAGAGAGAUUUCUGUGAAUAGACCAGAAGCCGACCUUUACAGUGUGUUUGGGUGCAGCCCACGUUGGAGCUCUCUGCUAACAGAGACCAAUGCUGUCACAGAGAACAAAGAAGAGCAGGAAUGAUGGAAUGGUUCUGGUGUCUUCUGCCUUAGGGGCUGCCUCUCAUGACAAGCUGCAACACUCAGACUCACCUGUUUUUACUCCCCAUUCCCUCAGGAGUGGUUGCUGUUGUUACAAUCUGGAGGCUCUUGCAGAGCUCUCUGUUCUAUGCCAUUGAUAUGGUUUGGCUGUGUCCCCACCCAAAAUCUCAUAUUGAAUUGUAAUCCUCAUAAUCCCCAUAAUCCCCACGUGUCUAGGGAGAGACCAGGUGGAGGUAAUUGAAUCAUGGGGGCAGGUUUCUCCCAUACCAUUCUUGUGAUAGUGAAUUCUCAUGAGAGCUGAUGGUUUUAUACGUGUUUGGUAGUUCCUCCUGCAUUCAUUCUUCUCCCUGCUGCCUUGUGAGGAAGGUGCCUUUCUUCCCCUUCAUGUUCUGCCAUGAUUGUAAGUUUCCUGAGGCUUCCCCAGCCAUGCUGAACUGUAGUCAAUUUAACCUCUUUCCUUUAUAAAUUACCCAGUUUUGGGUAGUUCUUUAUAGCAGUGUGAAAACGAACUAAUACAGCCCUAUACUCUGAUAUCAUUUCAAUAAUUUUAUUCUCUGCCCUAAGUAACCAAUUGGUUUCUCCUGCCUAUAAUUAAGUACUUUAAUAAUAUAUUAAGUGUUACAAGAUAUGCUUAAAAAUAAAUAAAUAUAACAUUGAAUAUAUUUGUUAUCUAUGCUACUGCAACAAUGUUUUUGUUUUGUCCUUAAUUUCUCUGCAUCUUACUGA